RNAcentral lists this ribosomal RNA (253 nucleotides) under uncultured bacterium. RNAcentral describes it as "partial 16S ribosomal RNA". It matches the Rfam family "Bacterial small subunit ribosomal RNA", at positions 524 to 776 of the family's 1533-position model. The record is from RNAcentral.
UACGUAGGGGGCGAGCGUUGUCCGGAGUUACUGGGCGUAAAGCGCACGCAGGCGGUCUGCUAAGUUUGGAGUGACAGUUGGUGGCUUAACUGCCAAAGUGCUUCGAAAGCUGACAGACUUGAGGGCUUCAGAGGGACACGGAAUUCCGGGUGGAGUGGUGAAAUGCGUAGAGAUCCGGAGGAACACCAAAGGCGAAGGCAGUGUCCUGGGGAGUACCUGACGCUCAGGUGCGAAAGCCAGGGGAGCGAACGGG